Molecule: ribosomal RNA, 208 nt
Filed under: uncultured bacterium
Lineage: Bacteria
Description: partial 16S ribosomal RNA
Rfam family: Bacterial small subunit ribosomal RNA
Source: RNAcentral
UGCGUAGGCGGCCAGAUCAGUCAGGCGUGAAAGUUUUCGGCUUAACCGGAGAAUUGCGUUUGAUACUGUUUGGCUAGAAUCAGGAUGAGGUUGGCGGAAUGUGGCAUGUAGCGGUGAAAUGCAUAGAUAUGCCAUAGAACACCGAUUGCGAAGGCAGCUGACUGGACCUGAUUGACGCUGAGGCACGAAAGCGUGGGGAGCGAAACAG